RNAcentral lists this long non-coding RNA (243 nucleotides) under Lathyrus oleraceus (garden pea). RNAcentral describes it as "Pisum sativum (pea) long non-coding RNA (PSAT_LNC033675)". Lineage: Eukaryota; Viridiplantae; Streptophyta; Magnoliopsida; Fabales; Fabaceae. The record is from RNAcentral.
GCAUGUGGAGCGUCUGAUCAGCCACGUCAAUUAAUGAGGCUUGAUCAGACGCUCCUUGUUUUUCUGAAUUUCUUAUUUUCUGAUUUUAUUUCUUUUAUUUCCAUUAUUUUCAAAAAUUCAUAUCUUCUUCAUUUUAAUUCCAAAAAAUAUUGGACCAAUUGCAUUCUUCCCCAAAUAAUUUCUAGUUUCUAAUUUUGAUUUUUUAUAUUUUUUAUUUUAUCAUUUGGUAUUUUUUGUGAAUUU